GGCGGGGCGUCCCCCGCGCAGGCGCACGCGCACAGGGUCCCGCCGAGCUGGUCCUGGCUUGACGCGGUGCUCCGGUGCCUGUCCGAAGCGCGAACCCUGCUGCUUCCUGCUGGCGUUCUUUCGGCCGGGAACGCCAGUCCAGCGUGGAGUGCGUGACCCCUGAUGUCCGGAGGGCUUUCCGGAUCUUCGGCGUCGCCGCAGCGCUGCCUCGAUGGCACCGCCACGGCCCGCCUGGGCUCCAGGCCGAUUUUAGAGACCGGAGGCCAGGGCUUGGCCGGAGCGCCCCGUGCGUCCCUGCAGCGCCUGCACCCUACGGCCUGGCACGUGCUGGCCUUCGUGUCCUGUUGAAGCUAAGCCACUUGGUGCGACGUCGUUUUCAGACUGUGAUAGGGAGGCUCAGAGGAAGCUUCUGUCCCAGCCGACCUGGUUGCAGCCUUGCAGGGGCUCAGCUGGGACUGAAAAUUGGGGAGUUGGUGCAUGGACUCCAGGCAGAGGGAUGUGGUGCUGUGCCCUGCAGCGGUGAGUAUGAAUACACUCUCCAUCACAGGUUCUGUCUGCUUACCUCCCAAACGCCUUGCCUUGCAGCCCACCCCCGCCAAGUCUGUGUACAGAACAGCCUCCUUUCAGCCUUCUCCCUCGCCCUCAAUCCCUUCUGCUUCACUUUCUUUCCCUUGUCCUGUGGGGUCCUUGGCUUGUAUAACAGCAUCAAAAACAGACAUUUAUUUAUUUGUUCAUUCAUCCAAUAUUUGGUGUCAGGUGCUGAGAGUACAAGAACGAGCAGAGCAAAGCCAGGCACGAUUCCUGACCUCCAGCAACUUCCAUUCUGACCGAAGACUGUCAUUAUAGAACUAACUGCAUAUAAGUGUAAAAUGGCAACCAUGACAAAGUGGCAAUGGGACAGGAGUCCAGAGGAACUGAUGACCCAGCUGAAAUCUGAGGGUCAAAGGGAACUUACCCUGGGAAAAGGAGGACACUCCAAGCCACAAGGAAUCACCAGAUGGCAUUCCAAAGUGGCUGUCCCAUCUUGCAUUCCCACCAGCAAUGGAUAAGAGUUCUUGUUCCAUAUUCUCAUGAGCAUUUGGUGUUGUCAGUGUUCUGGAUUUUGGCCAUUCUAAUAGGUGUAUAAUUAAUUAGCUUUUUAUUGAAAAGAGAUGAAUCCCUAUAAGGAUGAAUUUUCUUCCUUCUUUCCUUCUUUCCUCAUUCCCUCCCUCCCUCCUCUCUUUCUCUUUUUUCUUUUUGUACCAGGGAUUGAACCUAGGGCACUUUACCACUGAGCUACAUCCCCAGCCCCUUUUAUAUUUUAUUUUGAGACCAUCUGGCUAAGUUGCUAAGGUUGCUGAACUUGGUCUUGAACUUGAGAUCCUCUUGCCUCAAUUUGGGAUUAGGGGUAUGUGCCACUGUGCUGGGCCUGGGUGAAUUUUCACAAAGUAAGUACACCUGUGUAACAAGGACCUAGAUUAAAAAACAACAUGC
This 1473-nucleotide long non-coding RNA is filed under the name Ictidomys tridecemlineatus (thirteen-lined ground squirrel). RNAcentral describes it as "lncRNA (ENSSTOG00000029933.1)". Lineage: Eukaryota; Metazoa; Chordata; Mammalia; Rodentia; Sciuridae. The record is from RNAcentral.